AAUGAACGCUGGCGGCAGGCCUAACACAUGCAAGUCGAACGAGGCAGCAAUGCCUAGUGGCGGACGGGUGAGUAACGCGUGGGAACGUGUCCCUUGGUACGGAAUAGCCCUGGGAAACUGGGAGUAAUACCGUAUGUGGUCGAGAGACGAAAGAUUUAUCGCCAAGGGAUCGGCCCGCGUUGGAUUAGGUAGUUGGUGGGGUAAUGGCCUACCAAGCCGACGAUCCAUAGCUGGUUUGAGAGGAUGAUCAGCCACACUGGGACUGAGACACGGCCCAGACUCCUACGGGAGGCAGCAGUGGGGAAUCUUAGACAAUGGGGGAAACCCUGAUCUAGCCAUGCCGCGUGAUCGAUGAAGGUCUUAGGGUUGUAAAGAUCUUUCAGUGGGGAAGAUAAUGACGGUACCCACAGAAGAAGCCCCGGCUAACUCCGUGCCAGCAGCCGCGGUAA
Molecule: ribosomal RNA, 449 nt
Filed under: uncultured bacterium
Lineage: Bacteria
Description: partial 16S ribosomal RNA
Rfam family: Bacterial small subunit ribosomal RNA
Source: RNAcentral